RNAcentral lists this microRNA precursor (71 nucleotides) under Nicotiana sylvestris (wood tobacco). RNAcentral's name for it is "MIR6151 microRNA precursor family". It matches the Rfam family "MIR6151 microRNA precursor family". The record is from Rfam by way of RNAcentral. Lineage: Eukaryota; Viridiplantae; Streptophyta; Magnoliopsida; Solanales; Solanaceae. RNAcentral also lists the same sequence under 1 other name.
AAUCGUUGGAUGAGUGUGAAGCACUGGAUUGAUUUCGUUCAAUCCAAGCCCCACAUUCAUCAGGGGUUUGU